This 972-nucleotide ribosomal RNA is filed under the name Enterococcus durans. RNAcentral describes it as "bacterial SSU rRNA". It matches the Rfam family "Bacterial small subunit ribosomal RNA", at positions 56 to 998 of the family's 1533-position model. The record is from RNAcentral. Lineage: Bacteria; Bacillati; Bacillota; Bacilli; Lactobacillales; Enterococcaceae.
UGCAGUCGUACGCUUCUUUUUCCACCGGAGCUUGCUCCACCGGAAAAAGAAGAGUGGCGAACGGGUGAGUAACACGUGGGUAACCUGCCCAUCAGAAGGGGAUAACACUUGGAAACAGGUGCUAAUACCGUAUAACAAUCGAAACCGCAUGGUUUUGAUUUGAAAGGCGCUUUCGGGUGUCGCUGAUGGAUGGACCCGCGGUGCAUUAGCUAGUUGGUGAGGUAACGGCUCACCAAGGCUACGAUGCAUAGCCGACCUGAGAGGGUGAUCGGCCACAUUGGGACUGAGACACGGCCCAAACUCCUACGGGAGGCAGCAGUAGGGAAUCUUCGGCAAUGGACGAAAGUCUGACCGAGCAACGCCGCGUGAGUGAAGAAGGUUUUCGGAUCGUAAAACUCUGUUGUUAGAGAAGAACAAGGAUGAGAGUAACUGUUCAUCCCUUGACGGUAUCUAACCAGAAAGCCACGGCUAACUACGUGCCAGCAGCCGCGGUAAUACGUAGGUGGCAAGCGUUGUCCGGAUUUAUUGGGCGUAAAGCGAGCGCAGGCGGUUUCUUAAGUCUGAUGUGAAAGCCCCCGGCUCAACCGGGGAGGGUCAUUGGAAACUGGGAGACUUGAGUGCAGAAGAGGAGAGUGGAAUUCCAUGUGUAGCGGUGAAAUGCGUAGAUAUAUGGAGGAACACCAGUGGCGAAGGCGGCUCUCUGGUCUGUAACUGACGCUGAGGCUCGAAAGCGUGGGGAGCAAACAGGAUUAGAUACCCUGGUAGUCCACGCCGUAAAACGAUGAGUGCUAAGUGUUGGAGGGUUUCCGCCCUUCAGUGCUGCAGCUAACGCAUUAAGCACUCCGCCUGGGGAGUACGACCGCAAGGUUGAAACUCAAAGGAAUUGACGGGGGCCCGCACAAGCGGUGGAGCAUGUGGUUUAAUUCGAAGCAACGCGAAGAACCUUACCAGGUCUUGACAUCCUUUGACCAC